Physcomitrium patens is the source of this 1373-nucleotide non-coding RNA. The record is from RefSeq and is a predicted model, not a curated record. Lineage: Eukaryota; Viridiplantae; Streptophyta; Bryopsida; Funariales; Funariaceae.
UCAUUAAUACGGGAACUGCCAGUUCGCCUGCUUCAGGUCACUAUCGCGUUGUAGUAUUUAGGGGUGUCUUUGCAUGAUUAACUUGUCCCUUUUUUAAAAUAGAAUUAUCAUUUUUGCAAUUCAUGUCAGAGCUUUCGGACUCUCUCUCUCUCUCUCUCCUGCUUGAAACUACACCAGAUGUGCAGGCAUGGCUCCGAUGACUAGAAGCAAGUUGACAGAAGCCAUCUCAGAAGGAAUGGCCGCUCUGUGAGCAUCUGCAAGUUCACACAACGCGUUAAGAGAGAACAGAUUAUAACGCUGGAAUUUUUCCGUGAAGGCGAGUGCGAGCAGCUGCGGUACGGGUGAGUAGAACGAAGGCUUAGGAAUGCGAGGUGUAGAGGACAAGCAAUCGGGCGUAUUUUGCAAUCGUCAUGCGAUUUUCUCACAUACUCUGAGAGUGGGAAACUCUACUGUGUUCAGCCACCAAAAUUAAUGAUCCGUGAACAGAGAUCGAUUUGAUGUGCAACGUAAACAGAAUGUACACCAAACAUUGUAGCCGCUUAAUGCAUCAGCAGGUCCAGCAUCCGCAGGUCCAACCUGAGGUCACUGAAUGGUCAUUGUAGAAGUCAAGGAUCCAGAGCGCCAAGAGUAGCAGACUCGCCUUCCAUGACUGACACGACAGGAUGGAUGGUGAAUACCGACAUGUGAACGGGACAGCUUGAAACACGGACGAAACCAGUCACGGCACACGAAACCAGUGCUACAGUUUUAUGGCGAUAUCCAAGUUCCAGUACCAGACCAGAAGGAGGCCAUGUUCACAUCCAGUAAACUCCGGACAAACCACAGCGACACGCCGAGAAAGAUAAGCACUGAUACUGUAACUUGGACCCAAUCGCAGCGAUCAGCUCAUCGAUUCACAACACCAAAGUCUAGAGUGCCGCUGCAGGAAUACUGGUGUCAACGUUGCCAAUCAACAGUGAAACUCAUGGUGUCAAAAAAUGUUACACACAAGCUGCAGCGAAAUUGUAGCGAUCUUAGAAAAGUAGCGUAAGUUUCCAGUGGUUUUGUGACUGGUUACCGUCAUUUUUGUGAUGGCUUGCGAUAAGCUAUGCAUCUAGCAAGGAAGGGUUAUCCGAUCGGAACCUACAUGCUCGUUAGUGAUUCACAAUGUGUUUUGUCCCUUCGGCAAGGCUGCAGAAAAGUUCGCCUUCGGUUUGGCACCAGCGUCGAGGAGCUGCUGUGGAAUCACUUGAAUUCUUUGGCAUCUUGUGAACCCACUUAUUUGUGUACUUGGUAAUGUCUACACAAUGGUUGUUUCUGUUCACGCAAACAUUGAUCAUGCAUAUUCAUAUUAAUACAAUGAAAUGGUGUUUGAAAUGAACACUUUGUGUUGU